RNAcentral lists this unclassified non-coding RNA (328 nucleotides) under soil metagenome. Its description in RNAcentral is "partial contains 5.8S ribosomal RNA, internal transcribed spacer 2, and large subunit ribosomal RNA". The stretch from base 1 to 120 matches the Rfam family "5.8S ribosomal RNA", at positions 35 to 154 of the family's 154-position model. The record is from RNAcentral.
GAUGAAGAACGCAGCGAAAUGCGAUAAGUAAUGUGAAUUGCAGAAUUCAGUGAAUCAUCGAAUCUUUGAACGCACAUUGCGCCCUUUGGUAUUCCGAAGGGCAUGCCUGUUCGAGCGUCAUUAUAACCACUCAAGCCUUCGCUUGGUCUUGGGGUUCGCGAUCGCGCGGCCCCUAAAAUCAGUGGCGGUGCCGGUCGGCUCUACGCGUAGUAAUGCUCCUCGCGAUUGGGUCCGGUCGGUGGCCUGCCAGCAACCCCCAAAUUUUACAGGUUGACCUCGGAUCAGGUAGGGAUACCCGCUGAACUUAAGCAUAUCAAUAAGCGGAGGA